UGCAAGUCGAACGGUGAAGGAGGAGCUUGCUCCUUUGGAUCAGUGGCGAACGGGUGAGUAACACGUGAGUAACCUGCCCCAGACUCUGGGAUAAGCACUGGAAACGGUGUCUAAUACCGGAUACGAGCUUCAGCCGCAUGGCUAGGAGCUGGAAAGAAUUUCGGUCUGGGAUGGACUCGCGGCCUAUCAGCUAGUUGGUGAGGUAAUGGCUCACCAAGGCGACGACGGGUAGCCGGCCUGAGAGGGUGACCGGCCACACUGGGACUGAGACACGGCCCAGACUCCUACGGGAGGCAGCAGUGGGGAAUAUUGCACAAUGGGCGCAAGCCUGAUGCAGCAACGCCGCGUGAGGGACGACGGCCUUCGGGUUGUAAACCUCUUUUAGUAGGGAAGAAGCGAAAGUGACGGUACCUGCAGAAAAAGCACCGGCUAACUACGUGCCAGCAGCCGCGGUAAUACGUAGGGUGCAAGCGUUAUCCGGAAUUAUUGGGCGUAAAGAGCUCGUAGGCGGUUUGUCGCGUCUGCUGUGAAAACUGGAGGCUCAACCUCCAGCCUGCAGUGGGUACGGGCAGACUAGAGUGCGGUAGGGGAGAUUGGAAUUCCUGGUGUAGCGGUGGAAUGCGCAGAUAUCAGGAGGAACACCGAUGGCGAAGGCAGAUCUCUGGGCCGUAACUGACGCUGAGGAGCGAAAGCAUGGGGAGCGAACAGGAUUAGAUACCCUGGUAGUCCAUGCCGUAAACGUUGGGAACUAGAUGUAGGGACCAUUCCACGGUUUCUGUGUCGCAGCUAACGCAUUAAGUUCCCCGCCUGGGGAGUACGGCCGCAAGGCUAAAACUCAAAGGAAUUGACGGGGGCCCGCACAAGCGGCGGAGCAUGCGGAUUAAUUCGAUGCAACGCGAAGAACCUUACCAAGGCUUGACAUAUACCCGGAAAAGUUCAGAAAUGUUCUCCCCGCAAGGUCGGUAUACAGGUGGGUGCAUGGUUGUCGUCAGCUCGUGUCGUGAGA
Molecule: ribosomal RNA, 1006 nt
Filed under: Frigoribacterium sp. 956H3
Lineage: Bacteria; Bacillati; Actinomycetota; Actinomycetes; Micrococcales; Microbacteriaceae
Description: bacterial SSU rRNA
Rfam family: Bacterial small subunit ribosomal RNA
Source: RNAcentral